RNAcentral lists this ribosomal RNA (558 nucleotides) under Triticum aestivum (bread wheat). Its description in RNAcentral is "partial small subunit ribosomal RNA". Lineage: Eukaryota; Viridiplantae; Streptophyta; Magnoliopsida; Poales; Poaceae. The record is from RNAcentral.
AUGAUUGCUGCUAUUCCUAACAUCAUCGGCUGGCUUGCCAUCUCCUUCGCAAAAGACAUUUCUUUCCUGUAUAUGGGACGAUUGCUUGAAGGAUUUGGUGUUGGUGUCAUAUCCUACACGGUUAUGCUGGGAGGAGCACGGGCGGAGGUUAAUUGGCCGGAUCCGGAGCUCCAGUGCCUGAAUCGAGGAGCUGGAAGGCUGAGGCAGGAGGAGGAGCACAGGCUGCGCUGCUGCUGCUGUUGGUCAGUGCGGGGAGGAGCACGGACGGAGGUCAAUUGGCUGGAUCCGGAGCUCCAAUGCCUGAAUCGAGGAGCUGGAAGGCUCAGGCAGGAGGAGGAGGAGCACGGGCGGCGCUGCUGCUGGUCGGUGCGGGGAGGAGCAUGGGCGGCGCGAAGGCCAGGAGUCGUGGGCGGCGCGACGGCCAUGAGUCGCGGGCGACUGGAGGCUGUGGCGGACGGCGAGGGAGCUGCAUACGAGUUUGGGCUCUUGAUUGGAGCGGAGGAAGGCGGCCGACGAGGGAGCUGCGACCGGCGCGGACGGACGCCGGAGCUGCAGUAG